AUUCAAAUAUUGAUGCUAUCGUUUUCAUCGCUAGUUACAUUCUACAUGUAGGCUUGGGGUGAUAUUAACUUUCACAUGGUAUCAUAUAUUUUUGCGUUUGCAAGUCUUGGUUGUGCACGAUCCUUUUCAUAUUUCUACGGUGUUUUUAAGAAGCUCUAGAUCUAAAAUAUCGUAACAUGAUUGCAAAACAACAUAUUCACAAGACAACUGUAUAAACUAUGUUUCUUUCCAGAG
RNAcentral lists this long non-coding RNA (234 nucleotides) under Mytilus galloprovincialis (Mediterranean mussel). The record is from RNAcentral. Lineage: Eukaryota; Metazoa; Mollusca; Bivalvia; Mytilida; Mytilidae.